RNAcentral lists this small RNA (127 nucleotides) under Marmota monax (woodchuck). The record is from RNAcentral. Lineage: Eukaryota; Metazoa; Chordata; Mammalia; Rodentia; Sciuridae.
GUCGGGUGGGGUGGCGCACGCCUGUGAUCCCAGCACCUCGGGAGGCUGAGGCAGGAGGAUCUCGAGUUCAAGGCCAGCCUCAGCAAUUUAGCGAGGCCCUCAGCAACUCAGUGAGACCCUGUCUCUA